GACGAACGCUGGCGGCGUGCUUAACACAUGCAAGUCGAACGGAAAGGCCUUUUCGGAGGUACUCGAGUGGCGAACGGGGGGGUAACACGUGGGUGAUCUGCCCUGCACUCUGGGAUAAGCCUGGGAAACUGGGUCGAAUACCUGAUAGGAUCGCACUUUCGUGUGUGGGGUGGACAGUGGUUUCGUUGUAGGAUGAGCCCGCGGCCGAUCAGCUUGUGUGUGGGGUAGUGGCCGACCAAGGCGGCGACGGGUAGCCGGACUGAGAGGGUGGUCGGCCACAUUGGCACUGAGACUCAGCCCAGACUCCUACGGGAGGCAGCAGUGGGGAAUGUUGAACAAUCGGCACAAGCCUGAUGCAGCGACGCCGCGUGGGGGAUGACGGCCUUCGGGUUGUAAUCUCCUUUCGCCAGGGACGAAGCGUUUUGUGACGGUACCUGGAGAAGAAGCACCGGCUAACUACGUG
Molecule: ribosomal RNA, 463 nt
Filed under: uncultured bacterium
Lineage: Bacteria
Description: partial 16S ribosomal RNA
Rfam family: Bacterial small subunit ribosomal RNA
Source: RNAcentral